GUCAAUGCGCCAGAAAGUCACCAGAAAUGUUGCCAGAACUGGAAACUUGUCAGACCAUGACAUCUGAAGUUGUCGAUGGCCACGACUUCUGUUUCCAAGAAAUACCUACUACCUAGUUGUUUUUGUCCUCACAUCACUCAGUUGAGCUUGCACCUAGGGUCCAAGAGCCCCUUGCACCUUUAAUAACUACGAAGCCUCAUUUUCAUCCUUACAAAGUGGCCUAGUUGAAUAGCACAGAUUUGAAGAAUCAAAUAAGAUGCUUGAUAACUUAUUCAAUUGGCGGGCUAGUUGAAGAGGUGGAAUGUGAUAUCCUUCCUCUUAAAGCUUGACAUAAUCUUUUGGAUUAUCCUUAGCUAUUUGAUAAGAAGGUGCAGCAUGAUGCCUAUUAUUAUGGAAAGUCAAUCACUA
Molecule: unclassified non-coding RNA, 408 nt
Filed under: Hevea brasiliensis (rubber tree)
Lineage: Eukaryota; Viridiplantae; Streptophyta; Magnoliopsida; Malpighiales; Euphorbiaceae
Source: RNAcentral